This 467-nucleotide ribosomal RNA is filed under the name uncultured bacterium. RNAcentral describes it as "partial 16S ribosomal RNA". It matches the Rfam family "Bacterial small subunit ribosomal RNA", at positions 28 to 507 of the family's 1533-position model. The record is from RNAcentral.
GACGAACGCUGGCGGCGUGCUUAACACAUGCAAGUCGAACGGAAAGGCCUCUUUCGGGGGGUACUCGAGUGGCGAACGGGUGAGUAACACGUGAGUAACCUGCCCUUGACUUUGGGAUAACUUCAGGAAACUGGGGCUAAUACCGGAUAGGAGCUCCUGCUGCAUGGUGGGGGUUGGAAAGUUUCGGCGGUUGGGGAUGGACUCGCGGCUUAUCAGCUUGUUGGUGGGGUAGUGGCUUACCAAGGCUUUGACGGGUAGCCGGCCUGAGAGGGUGACCGGCCACAUUGGGACUGAGAUACGGCCUAGACUCCUACGGGAGGCAGCAGUGGGGAAUAUUGCACAAUGGGUGGAAGCCUGAUGCAGCAACGCCGUGUGCGGGAUGACGGCCUUCGGGUUGUAAACCGCUUUCGCUCAUGACGAAGCUUUGUGUGACGGUAGUGGGUAAAGAAGCACCGGCUAACUACGUG